This 154-nucleotide ribosomal RNA is filed under the name uncultured Sebacinaceae. RNAcentral's name for it is "5.8S ribosomal RNA". It matches the Rfam family "5.8S ribosomal RNA". From Rfam's summary of the family: 5.8S ribosomal RNA (5.8S rRNA) is a component of the large subunit of the eukaryotic ribosome. It is transcribed by RNA polymerase I as part of the 45S precursor that also contains 18S and 28S rRNA. The record is from RNAcentral. Lineage: Eukaryota; Fungi; Basidiomycota; Agaricomycetes; Sebacinales; Sebacinaceae.
CUUUCAACAACGGAUCUCUUGGCUCUCGCAUCGAUGAAGAACGCAGCGAGAUGCGAUAAGUAAUGUGAAUUGCAGAAUUCAGUGAAUCAUCGAAUCUUUGAACGCAGCUUGCACCCUUUGGCAUCCUGAAGGGUAUGCUCGUUUGAGUGUCAUU